RNAcentral lists this ribosomal RNA (253 nucleotides) under uncultured bacterium. RNAcentral's name for it is "partial 16S ribosomal RNA". It matches the Rfam family "Bacterial small subunit ribosomal RNA", at positions 524 to 776 of the family's 1533-position model. The record is from RNAcentral.
UACAGAGGGGGCAAGCGUUGUUCGGAAUUACUGGGCGUAAAGGGCGCGUAGGCGGCCUUCUAAGUCGAACGUGAAAUCCCCGGGCUCAACCCGGGAACUGCGUCCGAUACUGGAAGGCUUGAAUCCGGGAGAGGGAUGCGGAAUUCCAGGUGUAGCGGUGAAAUGCGUAGAUAUCUGGAGGAACACCGGUGGCGAAGGCGGUCUGCUGGGCAGUAGCUGACACUGAGGCGCGACAGCGUGGGGAGCAAACAGG